GAAAACAUCUCCAAUUAUGUAUCUAGCUCCCAUUUGCAAUCUGGUGAUUUUGUUGACUUCAACACUCUGACUAAUCCUCAUCAAGGAGCAGCAACAGCAGUGGCAGGAAUAGCAGAACUGAUGGUAGUUGGAAGAAGUGAUGGAUCAGUUGGAUUCUUCCAGCUUGGCAUCCUUGACCAACAAGCUCCAGGCUUUGUGCAGGAACUGCGUGAUGAUUCUGGUCUUGGUCGUUUGUGGGGCGUUUUGUCAAGGGGAAGGUCAAAUGCUGCAGUCCAGGAUCUAGUAAUAUCAGAGUUUCACCAGAAAAAGCUUCUAUUCGUGCUUCACUCUGAUGGGAACUUACGUGUGUGGGACCUUUCAAAUCGUUCCAGAAUUUUCAGUCAUUCUUUAAGUGUUUCACCAUCAGCAGGAUCCACUUUUGUAAGGAUAUGUGUGGGAAACGACCACAACAAUCCUGAUGCAAUUCCUAUGGCAGUACUGCAAAAAAAUGAUUCGGAAGUUGGCACAGCAGUGAUCUCUUUAUAUAACCUUCAUCUCAGUACUGGGGACAGAAUUAACUUGUUACUGGAUCCUUCAACAAAAAGCAUCUCGUUGGAAGAGGGGGACCUCAUUGAUAUAAAACUUACUCCAAACAAGUUGUGGAUACUCAGAGAAAAUGGAUUGGUCAUGAAGGAGUUGUCUUGUCAAAAUAGGAAUGAGGAAUUAGCGCAUUGCUAUUCUUUACAGGAUGCAUUUGUUGCUGAGCAGCUGUUUCAAGGCUCUGAAAAUUCGUCAGAUGAUCUACUUUGGCUUUCUCACACAGUUUUGUCAUCUUCAAAGGAUCAGAUUUCUCCGUUUGUAUCUUCUGUUUUCUUACAAAGGUUGCUCCUUCCGGGUGUUUAUCACAGAAAUGUUCUUCGGGUAACAUUACAAUAUUUUAGCAAGCACUUCACUGAUUCCGAAUUUGACUCUCUGACUGUGGACGGACUGAGAAAUGAAAUUCUGUCAGUCAUUCAACACGAGGUGGGAGCUGAUAGUCCAAUUUCAGUACUUCAGAGCUGGAAAACCUUUUGUACCUGUUAUUUUAAUAAUUGGUGCAAAACUAAUGUAGCG
This 1092-nucleotide unclassified non-coding RNA is filed under the name Hevea brasiliensis (rubber tree). The record is from RNAcentral. Lineage: Eukaryota; Viridiplantae; Streptophyta; Magnoliopsida; Malpighiales; Euphorbiaceae.